UGAAAAAUUACAACAACAGGCUUUUUUAUUUUUCAUCACACUUCACAUCAGAACCUUUUGUCUCCCUGGGGCAAAAACUCUGUGUUAUGAAAAGAGCAAAUGAAGACCUUCAACCUGAGCCUAGUGUACAGCACAGUAAUACACUCCACUGUCUGAAGGCUCCAGCUUCUCCACCGUCAAAGAUCCGGUCUCAGCUUUGUCCUUCUUGGCAGGAAAUUUGUCCUCACUGAAGCCGGUCCAGUACUGAUGUGGUGGCAUUAAGGUGGUGAGAACUAUCUGCUGCAUCAUCUCCCCGGGCCGCAGUCUGAACCAGUACAUCUGGAAAUAAUUUGAACCUUUCGUGUGACUGCAGUUGAGUGUGGCAGAUUGACCCUCUGCCGCCCACGACAGAGGGUCCUGGUCCACAUCACUUCCAUGGACUCCACCUGUGGAAGUUGGAAGAUGACUGAAGCCAAUUAUGAAGAGCAUGAACAUCAUGUUGAAGACGAUCCACCAUGAGCUUUCUGUUGAAGAGUCGUCAAUACUGAUGGUGAGCAUGAGAGCUCGUCACUGUCACGGCAGAAAGAAGAGGGCGGUGUCAGUGAUCAAUGUCACAGCUCACUCUGCAGAAAAGAGCAUGGUAUGAGUGUCUCAUUUGUUGAAGUAUGUCGUCCCCCCCUAGUGGUGGGAAACACACAGUUGGUGCAUUCAGUGAAUAAUGGCUGUCUGAGGCUACCCAGAGAUUUUAAAGUUUUAUUGCAUCAAGAAUUUACAAAUUAUGAGUGAUGAAGUGUUAGAUUUUUGUUCUACUCUUAGAGCCCCCUCCACACCAUAAGACCUGAGUCUCCUGAGCAGAAAGAGUCUGCUUUGUCCCUUCUUGUACAGCGCAUUUGAGUUGUCUGACCAGUCCAGUUUAUUGUUCAGGUGAACACCCAUUCACAAUCUCAAUGUCCUAAUACAGUAUUGAUUACAUUUAAUUUUAUACACAACAAAAACUAUCCACACAGUUGAAACUACCAAACUGUUUUUCCAGAAAUAAA
Long non-coding RNA from Notolabrus celidotus (New Zealand spotty), 1019 nucleotides. RefSeq lists it as uncharacterized. Lineage: Eukaryota; Metazoa; Chordata; Actinopteri; Labriformes; Labridae. The transcript has 3 exons. The record is from RefSeq and is a predicted model, not a curated record.